This 491-nucleotide ribosomal RNA is filed under the name uncultured bacterium. RNAcentral's name for it is "partial 16S ribosomal RNA". It matches the Rfam family "Bacterial small subunit ribosomal RNA", at positions 29 to 506 of the family's 1533-position model. The record is from RNAcentral.
AGUGAACGCUGGCGGUAGGCCUAACACAUGCAAGUCGAACGGCAGCACAGUAAGAGCUUGCUCUUACGGGUGGCGAGUGGCGGACGGGUGAGGAAUACAUCGGAAUCUACUUUUUCGUGGGGGAUAACGUAGGGAAACUUACGCUAAUACCGCAUACGACCUACGGGUGAAAGCAGGGGAUCUUCGGACCUUGCGCGAUUGAAUGAGCCGAUGUCGGAUUAGCUAGUUGGCGGGGUAAAGGCCCACCAAGGCGACGAUCCGUAGCUGGUCUGAGGGGAUGAUCAGCCACACUGGAAGUGAGACGCGGUCCAGGCUCCUACGGGAGGCAGCAGUGGGGAAUAUUGGACGAUGGGCGCAAGCCUGAUCCAGCCAUACCGCGUGGGUGAAGAAGGCCUUCGGGUUGUAAAGCCCUUUUGUUGGGAAAGAAAAGCAGCAGGUUAAUACCCCGCUGUUCUGACGGAACCCAAAGAAUAAGCACCGGCUAACUUCGU